This 484-nucleotide ribosomal RNA is filed under the name uncultured bacterium. RNAcentral describes it as "bacterial SSU rRNA". It matches the Rfam family "Bacterial small subunit ribosomal RNA", at positions 22 to 518 of the family's 1533-position model. The record is from RNAcentral.
GGUCAGGAUGAACGCUGGCGGCGUGCUUAAUACAUGCAAGUCGAACGGGAUAAAUUGGGAGCUUGCUCUUGAUUAUUAGUGGCGGACGGGUGAGUAACGCGUGGGUAACCUGCCUCAUACAGGGGGAUAACAGUUAGAAAUGACUGCUAAAACCGCAUAACAUCAUAUUACCGCAUGAUAGUAUGAUCAAAUAUUUAUAGGUAUGAGAUGGGCCCGCGUCUGAUUAGCUAGUUGGUGAGAUAACAGCCCACCAAGGCGACGAUCAGUAGCCGUACUGAGAGGUAGAACGGCCACAUUGGGACUGAGACACGGCCCAAACUCCUACGGGAGGCAGCAGUAGGGAAUAUUGGACAAUGGGGGGAACCCUGAUCCAAGCGACGCCGCGUGAGUGAAGAAGUUAUUCGUAAUGUAAAGCUCUAUCAGCAGGGACGAUAAUGACGGUACCUGACUAAGAAGCACCGGCUAAAUACGUGCCAGCCGCCGC